GAAGGCCAGGUUAAGAGGACUCUUGGCUCCCAGCUUCUCCACCCAGUCCGUCUGCCCGUGAGGAUGCCACACCCCUCCUCCUGGAUUUGCCUGGGACCUGCCUGGACGGUUAAUAUUAACCUGAGGUGAUGAGCUCCCUUGCCAGGUUCCAGGGCCUCUUAGAAAGGUGGGAUGCUGACUCACUGCCUACGUGGCAGCCACGUGUUUCCACAGCGCCUAGGCAGCAGCAGCCAGCGGGCGGCCUCCUGCGCUAAGCAGAAGGGCCUCUUCCUCGGGGCGAGGAAGGGGAAAAGUAGCUGGUUUUCAGUGUCUCCAUCAGGGGAGGAAGGGCGCGUUAGCAAGGAGGAAGGAGGGCGUUCCAAGCAGCUUAGGGAAAAGCUUCCCCUGAUGGGCUCCCUGCUGCUCCAUCUGCCGUCUACAUCUCCGGAGGGUGUCUCCAGUUUUCCCCAAUCACCAACUAACACGCAAGGGGAGGCCGGGCUGGUGUGGAAUGAAGAUUUAUGAAAAGCACAACCAAGGAAGGGUUAAAGGCAACCUGUGAUAUGACCUGUCUGCAGAACGCUUAGCCCCUCCAACAAGGCCCUGCAAGUUCCAGAAGCAAAGGCCAGGUCUCCCUGUCUCUCUGCCUCGCUCCCACCCUCUGGACCACAUUUUCUUGCUCUGAAGACAGAGGUGCCUGAGGCUGUCAAACCUCCUCCCACCGCACCCCGCCCCCAGCAUGUUAGCAAAUCUCUGGAUAAGGAUAGAGAAGCCAGGCUUCACGCGCCUUUCCUUCUGCCCCCGUGAGCCUCCCAACAAAAGUAAAAUUAAAUAAAAUGAAAAGUUCUGUGCAAUUGAGAUUGUAGAAACUGACAGCUACAAACCUGGCACACAUGGGAAUAACAGGAGAGAGCACGGGACCUGCAGAUGUCAAAAGACGUUAUUCUGAACGCAAGUGCUCCUGCCGGGAGGGAAGCUGCCCUGCGGCUUCUCUCAAUGCCUUUAACCCUAAAAACACCGUGGCAAUGCUGAGACAGAUCUGGGUACGCUGGCAGGGGUACAUCCACCUUCUCAGCUCUGACACCCCCAGCAAGGUUUGAAAGCUCAGGAAGUUCCAAGAAAGCCCCUCUCCUGCCUGACCUGCUGGUACUGAGGCGGAAGCAUGGAGAAAGAAGAGAGGCUGGAAGGCAGCAGCAACGUAAAUCCAGCCCUGGGCCACAGCCCUGAAGUAAAGCCCUGACUUUCAGGAGGCUGGGACUCGCUCAGCUUCUGUUAAGCUGAAACAUGCCUGGUGCUACAGCUUAUGGGCGCUGGCUAAUCGCACCUUCUGAUUCACACCAUUGUUAAACCGACAGCUUGGGCAACAAGGAGAAUCACCCAGGGCCCAGCGCUCCAGGCCAAAACUGAGCAGAGUGCAAACUCAGGGCACGCAGAUGUUUGGUAAAUGAGUGGUGUGACUGCCCGGCCUGCUUUCUGCCCCAGACCAUGCGACUUGUCCCUCCAGAGAAGAGGAAAGUCUUAGGGAGAGGAGCCUGGCUCCCUCUGGACCACAUUUGCCUGUCUAGGGAGUCGCCGCUUCCCACAGCUGUCACACCCUGUUUUAAGACACCAGAACUAACCCACUGGGCCGCUGACAUCCCUUGCCAGCCUGGGGCCCGCGUGCAGGUUGGAGCACGCAGCUGACAUCACGCCUCAGUCUGGGUUAGCUGUCCCAGGGGCCCGAAUCCCAUCGCUCCUGCACAUGACCCCAGUUGCAACAGUGGGUUAAAGUUCAGAAGCAGGCUGCUGAAAACAUCCACGGUGAUAAGCUGCACCUUUUGCGGCAGAUAACCCCGGCAGGAGAGAAAACAGGUUACAGGACCUCUGAGCUGUCCCUUCCAGCAGCCUCGCUAAUAAAGACCUCUGACCAGUCUUUCUGCUGCUGAUCCCCAUUUACAGUAGAUUAAUGGAAAUUUAAUAUUUUUUCCAAAAUAAACAACGAGCCUAGUGCUUUAUUUUUCAGCACCCAGCUUAUGUUUUAUUUAUUUUUUAAAUUCAACUUAUUUAAAUUGAAACCAAAAAAACUGGCUCACCUAUUUCUUAUUUUGAGUAAAAUAAACACAUCAGUCUUCUAAGGGAUGUUUUCAGAGGUGAGGCAGAGGAGCUUCUUCUCCUCUCCAGCUGCUCAUGGAAUCAGGGUUUGCAAUCAGCAAGCAAACCCAAGCAAUGCUGAUGCCGUGAGUCAGCCCUGAGCCCCAGGGGCUGGCUGAAGGAUCCAGGUGCAGGGCUGUUUUGAGGGGAAGUGAACUUUGUCCUCUAAUCAAAAUGUUCAACUGGACUCAGAAUCUUCAACUUGGGAUCUCAUAGCUCUGAGAGGAGGAAUCAUUACCAGGUUUAAUUGGUUUAGAAUAAGAGGGGAAAGGAUACAAAAGGCAGCCGCAGCCUUAAGGAGCUUACAGUGCAGUUGGGAAGCCCAGAGCAAAACACAGAGAAGUUAACAGAAAUACAGAGUGGUUGGACCCAAAGCAUCUCCAGCAUGCUCAACCAAGUGUCUUCUUGAUGUUACCCAAAGGGAUGUUCAGAAUGCUGGUACCUACACACCCUCACCACAGACACUGUCAGUGUCAGAAUGCUCUUUAUCCAAGUGCCUGGACAACCAUUCAACCAGCCAGAGGAAUGGGACUCACAAUAAGGAAGUACAGACAUUAAGAGCAGAAUGUGAGGUCAACGGCUGUAGGAAAAAGAAAAACGGAUUCAACACCAAAGAAGCCGGUUAGAGACCACGAACCUGUUCCUUUCACCGCACACAGAUUUUCUGUUCUGUUUGCCAAAGAAUCAAGAUGUCCAUGCCAAAUAUGUGUGUGUUGAGAGCCUUGAGUCACUGCUGACCCCCAGCAGCCCAUAUGGGAGCCACAUAGAAGGGCCAUGAGUGGGGCUGCAUGCUCUCAUCCCUGAGGAAUGCAGCUUCAUCACAGGACUUGCUUCUGUGGUGACCACUGCAGGCCACCAGGAGCCCCUUUAAGAUGAAUAUGUGUGUCAGCAAGAAAUUAAUGUUGUGCUGUGAUUGCUGUGUUUGCUAUAGUAUUAGGAAAACUAUACCGGAUAUAAUAUCCCCUGAAGAUUAAGAUCAUAAAUGAGCAGGGUUGCCGCAGAGCAUCAGGGUUGUGCACUGGAGAACCAGUCUGACACCCAGGUGUGGCAGCAGGUCAUGGGACACAGCAGCAGCUGGUGGAGAAAGGCUGCCCCUGUUUCCUCUCCGCAGCAAGCCCAGGAUUAGUGUUUGUGUGUCAUGGGCCUUCAAUCCUCUCCCUCUGGCUUCUAAGCCAUCUUGUCAGGGUGGAGAAAUGGCUUAGGGGCUGGGCCUUCCUGGGGUGCAUCCCAACGGGAUCAGUCACCCUCCCACUAAGCUGCCUGGAGGAGCUUCCAGUCCAAUAGGAGAGUCACCUGCUUAACUGGACCAUUUGAACAUAAUGUAGUCAGUGCUGUGGCGAGACUUAACCUGGAGCAAAGCAGUGGGGCACUUUAAAGACUAGUGUUCUGCUUGUCACUGGCCAGUACCACAGCCAUCGCACUUCAAAAAUCUCUCUAAAACAACACAUAGAAAUAAAUUCUCCCCCUCCAAGAAUUUUGGGAGAAGAGAGGAGCUGAUAGCACCGGUUGUAAAACCUAAUCAGAAAGCAUCUGUUCCGUUCCAGAAAACAGUUACUGAGCAUCUUCUAAUGCUGCCCUCCAGAUGCCUGCACAGUUUAUAGAAUUUUAACUUGAAGAAAAAGUAUAUACUUAUUUGAUUUCAAGUGCAAAGAGAAAAAGCUGGGAUUAAGGAAGAAUUUUUCCUGAUAAGCUCAACUCUUGUGGACUAAAUGAAGAAAUAGAUUUUUUACUGGGUGUGUAAAUGCCGUGUCAUGUUUGGGCAUAAGGCCACAAGUGUGUCCAUGGGGUUUAUUAGAAGAAAAGUUCCCUCUCAACAUACCACAAGGAGUUUGAUCACAUAUUUCUAUGUAUUAAACCUCCCAACCCCAAG
RNAcentral lists this long non-coding RNA (3979 nucleotides) under Equus asinus (donkey). RNAcentral describes it as "lncRNA (ENSEASG00005024345.1)". Lineage: Eukaryota; Metazoa; Chordata; Mammalia; Perissodactyla; Equidae. The record is from RNAcentral.